CUGGGUGGAUGAGUGGCGAACGGGUGAGUAAUACGUGAGUAACCUGCCCUUGACUCUGGGAUAAGCCUGGGAAACUGGGUCUAAUACUGGAUACGACAUGUCACCGCAUGGUGGUGUGUGGAAAGGGUUUUACUGGUUUUGGAUGGGCUCACGGCCUAUCAGCUUGUUGGUGGGGUAAUGGCUCACCAAGGCGACGACGGGUAGCCGGCCUGAGAGGGUGACCGGCCACACUGGGACUGAGACACGGCCCAGACUCCUACGGGAGGCAGCAGUGGGGAAUAUUGCACAAUGGGCGGAAGCCUGAUGCAGCGACGCCGCGUGAGGGAUGACGGCCUUCGGGUUGUAAACCUCUUUCAGCACGGAAGAAGCGAAAGUGACGGUACGUGCAGAAGAAGCGCCGGCUAACUACGUGCCAGCAGCCGCGGUAAUACGUAGGGCGCAAGCGUUGUCCGGAAUUAUUGGGCGUAAAGAGCUCGUAGGCGGUUUGUCGCGUCUGCUGUGAAAGCCCGGGGCUUAACCCCGGGUGUGCAGUGGGUACGGGCAGACUUGAGUGCAGUAGGGGAGACUGGAAUUCCUGGUGUAGCGGUGAAAUGCGCAGAUAUCAGGAGGAACACCGAUGGCGAAGGCAGGUCUCUGGGCUGUUACUGACGCUGAGGAGCGAAAGCAUGGGGAGCGAACAGGAUUAGAUACCCUGGUAGUCCAUGCCGUAAACGUUGGGCACUAGGUGUGGGGAACAUUCC
Molecule: ribosomal RNA, 740 nt
Filed under: Kocuria sp. B2_6_B12
Lineage: Bacteria; Bacillati; Actinomycetota; Actinomycetes; Micrococcales; Micrococcaceae
Description: bacterial SSU rRNA
Rfam family: Bacterial small subunit ribosomal RNA
Source: RNAcentral